GAGGAAUAUUGGUCAAUGAACGAGAGUCUGAACCAGCCAAGUAGCGUGAAGGAUGACUGCCCUAUGGGUUGUAAACUUCUUUUAUACGGGAAUAAAGUGAGGCACGUGUGCCUUUUUGUAUGUACCGUAUGAAUAAGGAUCGGCUAACUCCGUGCCAGCAGCCGCGGUAAUACGGAGGAUCCGAGCGUUAUCCGGAUUUAUUGGGUUUAAAGGGAGCGUAGGCGGACGCUUAAGUCAGUUGUGAAAGUUUGCGGCUCAACCGUAAAAUUGCAGUUGAUACUGGGUGUCUUGAGUACAGUAGAGGCAGGCGGAAUUCGUGGUGUAGCGGUGAAAUGCUUAGAUAUCACGAAGAACUCCGAUUGCGAAGGCAGCUUGCUGGACUGUAACUGACGCUGAUGCUCGAAAGUGUGGGUAUCAAACAGGAUUAGAUACCCUGGUAGUCCACACAGUAAACGAUGAAUACUCGCUGUUUGCGAUAUACAGUAAGCGGCCAAGCGAAAGCGUUAAGUAUUCCACCUGGGGAGUACGCCGGCAACGGUGAAACUCAAAGGAAUUGACGGGGGCCCGCACAAGCGGAGGAACAUGUGGUUUAAUUCGAUGAUACGCGAGGAACCUUACCCGGGCUUGAAUUGCAACUGAAUGAUGUGGAGACAUGUCAGCCGCAAGGCAGUUGUGAAGGUGCUGCAUGGUUGUCGUCAGCUCGUGCCGUGAGGUGUCGGCUUAAGUGCCAUAACGAGCGCAACCCUUAUCGAUAGUUACCAUCAGGUUAUGCUGGGGACUCUGUCGAGACUGCCGUCGUAAGAUGUGAGGAAGGUGGGGAUGACGUCAAAUCAGCACGGCCCUUACGUCCGGGGCUACACACGUGUUACAAUGGGGGGUACAGAAGGCAGCUACACGGCGACGUGAUGCUAAUCCCGAAAGCCUCUCUCAGUUCGGAUUGGAGUCUGCAACCCGACUCCAUGAAGCUGGAUUCGCUAGUAAUCGCGCAUCAGCCACGGCGCGGUGAAUACGUUCCCG
RNAcentral lists this ribosomal RNA (1017 nucleotides) under uncultured organism. Its description in RNAcentral is "bacterial SSU rRNA". It matches the Rfam family "Bacterial small subunit ribosomal RNA", at positions 356 to 1376 of the family's 1533-position model. The record is from RNAcentral.